RNAcentral lists this transfer RNA (72 nucleotides) under Capra hircus (goat). It matches the Rfam family "tRNA". Rfam says of the family: Transfer RNA (tRNA) molecules are approximately 80 nucleotides in length. Their secondary structure includes four short double-helical elements and three loops (D, anti-codon, and T loops). RNAcentral also lists the same sequence under 1 other name. The record is from Rfam by way of RNAcentral. Lineage: Eukaryota; Metazoa; Chordata; Mammalia; Artiodactyla; Bovidae.
UCCCUGGUGGUCCAGUGGCUAAGACUUUAUGUUCCCAAUGUCAGGGGCUGGGUUCAACCCCUAGUCAGGGAA